CACCGCGGCAACUUGGCGGCGGGUGCCAUGCGUCUGGCGCUUCACGUUCUCUGCCCCCACCCACCGCGCCAUCGCUCCCCGGUCUCGCCUUGGGAAGCGCGCACCUGCCAAGCAGGAUGAAUAAUCUGAUAUCAUGUGAGAUGAGGAAAUAAGAAGCUUUCUGCUGACUUCAUUGCGACCCAGGGUCCAAAAGGUGAUGUAAUCCUGUGGCAAGAAGAUUCAAAACUGUGAGCUAUCUUACAAAAAAUACAAGAAGAUAUGGAAAGUUUUCAUGAGUGCCUACCACCUAAUCCCAAACACUGUCAUUCAUAUGCGCGACAUUGAGCAAAUCUUUAUUGAGGAUCUAUAUGCCAGCAAUAUCUUUUGCUUGGGAGCAGAAACAAAGUACAUGGUGGAUUUCACUGAGGGAUAGAGAUUUGGAAGACAGGAAUGGAUGAAGAACCAAGUGCAUGAGGGCACCUAUCAGGAUUAUUGCUGAAAUCCUCAUGGAGGUUACUGGCUGAGAGGAAGGCAAGCGAGCGAGGACUGAUGGCCCUUGGCACUGUGAGAACAGUGGAGUUCAGAAUAACACCAGAAUCUUCCAAAUACUUUCCCCAUAGGGUGAAAAGGUAAAUGCCCCUUUAAAUCAUUAACUAAACUGGCACUCAGAUCUGGGCAGGCUCUCCCAGAUUGGGCUGUUCUGUUUUGCCAGGAAUUGAUAAACUUCUGUGACCCCU
Molecule: long non-coding RNA, 716 nt
Organism: Piliocolobus tephrosceles (Ugandan red Colobus)
Lineage: Eukaryota; Metazoa; Chordata; Mammalia; Primates; Cercopithecidae
Exons: 4
Source: RefSeq, a predicted model, not a curated record